RNAcentral lists this long non-coding RNA (1982 nucleotides) under Homo sapiens (human). Its description in RNAcentral is "non-protein coding lnc-SORBS3-1:6". Lineage: Eukaryota; Metazoa; Chordata; Mammalia; Primates; Hominidae. The record is from RNAcentral.
CUGGAGGACGGGUCCCAAAACUGGCUUGCCACAGUCCCUUUCAGUAUUGCUGUGAUGAGACGCCUGGAGGAAAGCUGUCAGAGCAGAUGUGUGUAGAGGAAGAAAGUUGUGUAGUCGAAGGACAGUGUUGUUUACUCUUAUCUUGAGUGUGAGUAGAGAACUGUAUUAACAAUAGGGCUUUGUGCCAUUGACAGAGUGUGAAAGAGGGAGCCUAUAUUACAUUGGGGUUUGGGACCUGACCUGCCUAUAUCUAGCCAGCGAGAGUGAAUGGGGUCAGUGUUAGCUGCCUUCAUCUAUGCAGUCACAAAGGUAAAGAUGAUACUGGAGAGUAUAUUCCCUCCCGGGAGGCCUUGGCCUCACGCCCCUGCCACCUUGGCAAGACCUGCUAAAUAACACCUUUGUCUGAGACAGGGUUAUGCAUCAUCUCCUCUUCUAUGCCCUCAUGGCAAGUCUAGGUGGCUUAAGAUUAAGAAGUGAGGACAUGGAGGCGGACUGUCCCUCUGAGCAGCUCUGAAGUAGGGCCAAGCACACUGCCUUCCAAGCUGACAGCCACUUGUUUGUUUCAUCUUUCCUGAGAACUAAGAGAGGUUCACCCAGCUCAGUUCUUCUCAAAGACACCCCGUCUGUGCAUUGUGCUUGUUUGCUCAUCCAUGAAAAGAGGAAGAGAGAACAGCCGUGGAUGUGAUGUCAGUAUCAAAACUUCCUUGAGGACAGGCGGGAUAAAUUGGGCAAACGGCUGAGUUCUCCCGCAGCCUUUGGGAGAUUGGCCCUGAGAACCCAGAAUAGAUGCCCAUUAUACAUCAUGCGUGUGCUAUGGAAAGGUCUGUGCCAGGCAAGCCUGAGAGCCUAAUUCGCUAUUCCUAUGGGGUUCCAUGCACCCAUCCUGGCUGUCAGGCCCCAAUACCCAUCAUACUUGACCUGUACUGGGUAUUUUUUCACUCAGAUCCCUCACUCUACAGUGACUCUACCAGAAAUCUUGAAUUCCAGAUGAGCCACGUCAUGCCAUUGUCAGCAUAGGAGGCCCUUUGAAGCCCCAAAAUGGGUCAUUUGCACUCCCUUCUUCUGCCUGCUCCUGUUCCCAUGAGUGGUUGGCAUGGAAAGGGCCAUCAGUAGAACUUGGCUGGCAACAUUUGCAGGAGCAGGAAUCAACAGAGGACCCAGGAGAAAGGGAUGGAGCCCAGGGCAUGAAACAUAGUCCAGAUUCCUGCUGGUCAGAGCCCUAGAGAAUAAGAGAAGCUUGCUGCUGGUGAGGGGGUAUGGCCAGGAUUCCUGGAGUCGGAAGAGCUUCAGCUUCACCAUCUUGGGAGAAGAAGGAAGAAAGUGAAAGCGAUGUGGUCCUUCUUAGUCCCAAGGACCCUGACAGCUUUCACAUGUGAUGUUUCAAGGCAACGGGGAGAGCUUCUUUACCAGAACGAGGGAGAAGAUAAGACUAAAGCAGUAAUGGUGGUAGGGACUGAAAAUCACUUAGUCUUUUCUCUACUCUCUUUCUUUCCAAACUUUGAGUUGAGUGGUGAGCUUGGAAAACACUCCAAAACUCCUCGUGGCCUCUGGCACCAGUCUGACACCCAGUAGGAAUGCAGGAGAUUACGUUAGUUUUCAUAAUUUAGCAUUGAUCACUCCCAGCUCGUAGCUAAAGUUGAUCAGUAACUGUUGGUUGGUUGGCUGGUUUGGGGCUUGGGGAUCCCUGAGCCAACUCAAGGGCCAGAAAGGAUUCCAGAGUGUUUCCACGGUCCUUCAAUGUUCCUUAAGCAUUCCCACUUUCUGAAGUGCCAUACAGAGGCUUGGGGCAGAGACAGGGAGAGGGGAUGACCAGAAUGGAUGGGGAGCCGGAAGGGCCGGGGCUCUGGGGACCCAGCUCAGAGCAGCGAGAACAGCGGAAAAGCAGGCAGAUCAAAACAAACACAGUGUCUGGGAACACCAAGACCCUCCUAAUCCCAUCCCCGCCAAAGGGACCCCACCCUUAUCCUCUUUAGGGGCGCGGC